This 253-nucleotide ribosomal RNA is filed under the name uncultured bacterium. Its description in RNAcentral is "partial 16S ribosomal RNA". It matches the Rfam family "Bacterial small subunit ribosomal RNA", at positions 524 to 776 of the family's 1533-position model. The record is from RNAcentral.
UACGGAGGGGGCUAGCGUUGUUCGGAAUUACUGGGCGUAAAGCGCACGUAGGCGGCUUUGUAAGUUAGAGGUGAAAGCCCGGGGCUCAACUCCGGAAUUGCCUUUAAGACUGCAUAGCUAGAAUCAUGGAGAGGUGAGUGGAAUUCCGAGUGUAGAGGUGAAAUUCGUAGAUAUUCGGAAGAACACCAGUGGCGAAGGCGGCUCACUGGCCCGAUACUGACGCUGAGGCACGAAAGCGUGGGGAGCAAACAGG